CCAGCCUGGCUGAGGGGGCGGGCUGGCCGGUAGCACGCCCAGCUCGGCUUCCUUGAGCCCCUGCUGGAGGCUGAGUGAAGCCCCUCCUACUUUGGCAGCCCCUCUCCAAUACGGAGCCCUGCAUAAAACUGCGUUUUUUUCUGUGUUUCUGUUCUCUUUUCUCUACCGACCAUGGAGCACAGAAGUCAUGGGUGGGGGGCGACUUGGCAUUCGUAGCAGCGUCCAGAUCCUAGGGCUUUAAUAUUUAAUCGAGGAACCCUUGAAGGGUGGAGGUGCUUGGGGAGCCUGCCCCUAGUUCUCCUGCUUAGGCCCCAUCCUCCGGGUCCGAAUCCAGGGCUGGCGCGUGGCCACUGCGACCUCCGGGAAGCGGGGGCUUUUGGCGUCACACCCGGCACCGCAGUGCAUCCGUUCUGUGAGCCUGGCCGGCGUGCCCGGGGUGAAGAGGGAAAGCCGACUACGUGUACGAGCCCAGGCGGUACGCGACCUCUGUGGCCUGCCUCCCCGCGUCCCGGGAAGAACGGCCCCCUUUCCCCACCCCCUCGCGGUUCCCGGCAGCCCUGGCCGCCCCGCCCCCGCCGCAGCUGCUGCUUCCAUCCCCACCCGGCCCUUUCUGCCUUGUCAUCUCCUGCCCCGCCGAGGCUCGACCCGUGAGUGGGGCCGCCGGGAGCGCACGGAGCGGGAGCCCCCCCCGACCCCCGGCUGCGGUAGGGAAGAGAAACUGAGUUUGGGCAAAAUCCGCACCCCACCAAAACCAGCCGCGCCCGAAGGAGAGUGGGUUCUGUCCUCCCUCCCUUCCUGCACUCGAUUUGGGGGACAGGCUCUGGAAACCUCAAGAGAAGAGGGCAGAGGAUCCACAGUACACAGUGCAGUGAUGUCAGCCUAGUGGUGAGGGUAUAUGUUGUUCACUGGGGUACAGAGGAGAAGGAACCAGUCUGCUUGUGGGACACUCAGGCAUUGGGGUGGAUGAGGGGACAUUUGAAUCUUGGAGGAUGGAUCCACAGCAUGGAGGGAGGAAAGGGCAUUCCAGGCCUAGGCAACAGCAUCUGCAAAGUUUGGGAAGUGCCAGUACUGAGUGGUGGAGGGAAGUGGGGGAAAGCCUGGCUGUCCAGGGGGUGGGAAGUGAACAGAUAGUCUGGAUUCUCUCUGAUAAGCUGUGGGGGUGUGGGGGUGUGGGGGACAGGUAGUUACGGCUGACAUUUUGCUUGGCGAGACCUUGUAGUUCAGGCUGGAGCAAGUCAGAUUCCACUUCUGCCAGUUGAUCUCGCUGAGCCUGUCCCCUUAUCUGUAAAAUGGGGACAAAAGCCCUACCCCAGAGAGUUGUCAAAGUCGCUAUUCUGUGGGAGUGAUGGGAUAGGAGUGAGCGGUACUGAGAGAGACUUAUAGGAGAUGAGAUGACCAUAGAGGGGUUGAGGGAGAUGCUGAUAACUCACUGAGAAGUGGAGGAGUAGCAUUUGUCCCUGAUGGGACAUGAAGGGAGAGAGAGGGGUAAAGGGUAGUCCUGGUCUCUGCUCAUGGCCUGGGGGAAGGGCUGACACUUCAGUAUGGCUAGGAGGGGUGAAAUGACCAGGGAGGCAUAGCAUGACACCAGGUAGUGAGACCUGGGAAGCAGGAUGGGGGCUAGGACCAAAUCCUAGACCUGGAACCAGGUAAGGAAGUAAAGGAGGGACCCCAAAGGGAGGACGAGACCCAGGAGGGUGUUUUGUGGACAAAGCCAAGGCCAGGGGAGAUGGGCUGAGAGAGGGAGUGGUCCAGGGCCUGACCUAAUUGCCCUUAAUGCCAGGGGCCUUGCUGCGUGGGUCAGGCCACCCAAGAGGAGAUGGGCCAUUGUCCUUGGUUGUCAAUAAAUGAACAAAGCAGAUUAAUUUCUGCCUAACACCUGCUGUUUGGGAGAGACAGCCUCUCAAAAUGGGAGGAUCUAUGGAGGAAAACAGUGAAAAUUCAAUAUUUGCUGGUAGCUUUUAUGAGUUGGGCCCUGGGUACUUAAAGAUGAUGGCUGUAAAUCAUUCCCAGGGCAGCAGGGAGACAGUUUGGCCUCAGGUGAUGUCUGGAGAUCUCGGUCAGAGCUAAGACUCAAGAGAAUUCAGGUAUCCCUGCUCAGGUAUUAGAACCAGGAGAGACCAUGAGACCACUUUGGGGUUACAACAUGGUGGUGGCAUUGGUGAGGUGGUGCAGGGGCAGGGCCUGUCCUGGAAGGAUGGACCUCAGGAUAAGGGGUCUGGACUUCUUCCAGCUGGUGAGAGGAGCAGCGGAGGCUCUUAGCACUUCGGGAUCUGGGAGAGGGGGGAUUCGGGGCUCUGCAGGGUCUAGGAUGGAAGUGAAAGGCUAGACUAAGUAAGUGGUGACGUUGACAGAAAUAUUGGAAAGACUGGGAAGAACUUGACUGCAAGCUGGGUGUGGGGUAUCAGGAUCAGUUGUAGGUCUUUCUGCCUGUUAAGUUGGGGAAGCAGGUUGGGAAAGAGAAGUUAGUUUGGAUAAACUGGGUCUGAAUUGAUCGCAGGAUCUGCAGGUGGCAGGGGCUCAGGAGGGAGGACAUGCUUGGGGAGAGCUGUCAGAGUAGGUAAGGGUCCUUGGAAAGCCACAG
RNAcentral lists this long non-coding RNA (2581 nucleotides) under Balaenoptera musculus (blue whale). RNAcentral describes it as "lncRNA (ENSBMSG00010016969.1)". The record is from RNAcentral. Lineage: Eukaryota; Metazoa; Chordata; Mammalia; Artiodactyla; Balaenopteridae.